RNAcentral lists this long non-coding RNA (622 nucleotides) under Homo sapiens (human). RNAcentral describes it as "HSALNT0284817". The record is from RNAcentral. Lineage: Eukaryota; Metazoa; Chordata; Mammalia; Primates; Hominidae.
AUUCUGCGAAGUAGUAUGGAAGUGGGGUCUGCAUACCAUUGCUGCUCUGUUCCCUGAAUUCAGUCCCUUUCUAAGGAGUAUGUAUGGGGGUCUAACCUCCUGCUUUUCCAGAGUUACAGCCACUUUUGCUGGAAAGCAUAGAUAUCUAAGGCCCCUGAGGCAUGUGCCUGAGCUGCUUCUCUGCCAAGACUCCGUAUGUGUCAGACUGAAGGCACUGGUGGAGUCGGUUCACAAGGAGAUCUUCUAACCCAAGAGUUGCAAAGAUCUGUGGGAGAAGAUCUUUGUGGGUUCCCCUGAUCACUCAUUCACUCACUGCUUCCCUAUGCAAGGAAGGUUCCCCUGGCUCCGUGUCACUCCCAGGUAUACAUCCAGAUGGCCUGAAGCAACUGAAGAAUCACAAAAGAAGUGGAAGUGGUCAGUUCCUGCCUUAACUGAUGACAUUACCUUGUGAAAUUCCUUCUCCUGGCUCAGAAGCUCCCCCACUGAGCACCUUGUGACCCCGGCCCCUGCCCACCAGCGAACAAGCCCCUUUGACUGUAAUUUUCCAUUACCUACUCAAAUCCUAUAAAAUGGCUCCACCUCUAUCUCCCUUCACUGACUCUCUUUUAGGACUCAGCCUGCC